UACAGAGACUGCGAGCGUUAUUCGGAUUCACUGGGCGUAAAGGGUGCGCAGGCGGCCGUGUGUGUGAGGCGUGAAAGCCCGGGGCUUAACCCCGGAAUUGCACCUCAAACUACACGGCUAGAGCAUUGGAGAGGGUAGCAGAAUUCACGGUGUAGCAGUGAAAUGCGUAGAUAUCGUGAGGAAUACCAGAGGCGAAGGCGGCUACCUGGACAAUUGCUGACGCUCAGGCACGAAAGCGUGGGGAGCAAAAGGG
Molecule: ribosomal RNA, 253 nt
Filed under: uncultured bacterium
Lineage: Bacteria
Description: partial 16S ribosomal RNA
Rfam family: Bacterial small subunit ribosomal RNA
Source: RNAcentral